This 268-nucleotide transfer-messenger RNA is filed under the name Bacteroidales bacterium. RNAcentral's name for it is "partial transfer-messenger RNA". It matches the Rfam family "transfer-messenger RNA", at positions 1 to 239 of the family's 374-position model. Rfam says of the family: Bacterial tmRNA, also known as 10Sa RNA or SsrA, is named for its dual tRNA and mRNA-like properties. Lineage: Bacteria; Pseudomonadati; Bacteroidota; Bacteroidia; Bacteroidales. The record is from RNAcentral.
GGGGAUGUUCUGGUUUUGACAGCACUGAUUUCGGAUGGUAAGCACGUCGGGCGUAGGAGGCUGGCCCGUUAAUCCCAGUCUUCGAGCCAUAACUGGCAACUACAACUAUUCAUACGCUUGCUAAUCUCCAAGAGAUUGAGCAUUAAUCGAUUCCGCCAAGGUUGCGGAACGACGUAUAUCCCUCCAGCUUUAGGCCGGUUCAGUCUGGAUCCAGGGGUAUCAUCAAAACCGGAUGCGCGGCCCGGACGCCUCUAGGGACCGUUAAGUU